Neocallimastix californiae is the source of this 72-nucleotide transfer RNA. It matches the Rfam family "tRNA". Rfam says of the family: Transfer RNA (tRNA) molecules are approximately 80 nucleotides in length. Their secondary structure includes four short double-helical elements and three loops (D, anti-codon, and T loops). The record is from Rfam. Lineage: Eukaryota; Fungi; Neocallimastigomycota; Neocallimastigomycetes; Neocallimastigales; Neocallimastigaceae.
GGGGAAUUAACUCAGCGGUAGAGCAAUUAACUGCAGAUAAAUAGGUCUUCGAUUCAAAUACGGAAUGCCCCU